GGGUGCGUAACACGUAAGAAUCUGCCUUUAGGAAGGGGAUAACAUUUAGAAAUAUUUGCUAAUACCCUAUAUGCUUCACAGUGAAAGAAUUUAUUCGCCUAAAGAGGAGCUUGCGUCUGAUUAGCUAGUUGGUAGGGUAAAGGCCUACCAAGGCGACGAUCAGUAGUUGGUCUGAGAGGACGGCCAGCCACAUUGGAACUGAGACACGGUCCAGACUCUUACGGGAGGCAGCAGUGAGGAAUUUUCUGCAAUGGGCGAAAGCCUGACAGAGCAAUACCGCGUGAGGGAUGACUGCCUACGGGUUGUAAACCUCUUUUCUCAAGGAGGAAGAUCUGACGUUACUUGAGGAAUAAGCAUCGGCUAACCCUGUGCCAGCAGCCGCGGUAAUACAGGGGAUGCAAGUGUUAUCCGGAAUUAUUGGGCGUAAAGCGUCUGCAGGUUGAUCUAUAAGUCUUUUGUCAAAUCUUUGGGCUUAACCCAAAAACAGCAAAAGAAACUAUUUAUCUUGAGUAUGGUAGAGGUAAGGGGAAUUUCCAGUGGAGCGGUGAAAUGCGUAGAUAUUGGAAAGAACACCAACAGCGAAGGCACCUUACUGGGCCAUUACUGACACUCAGAGACGAAAGCUAGGGUAGCAAACGGGAUUAGAUACCCCGGUAGUCCUAGCUGUAAACGAUGGAUACUAGGUGUUGCGUACUUUAUAGUAUGCAGUGUCGUAGCUAACGCG
RNAcentral lists this ribosomal RNA (724 nucleotides) under eukaryote SCGC AAA074-P10. RNAcentral describes it as "bacterial SSU rRNA". It matches the Rfam family "Bacterial small subunit ribosomal RNA", at positions 104 to 859 of the family's 1533-position model. The record is from RNAcentral.